AGAGUUUGAUCGUGGCUCAGGAUGAACGCUGGCGGCGUGCCUAAUACAUGCAAGUCGAGCGAACUGAUUAGAAGCUUGCUUCUAUGACGUUAGCGGCGGACGGAUGAGUAACACGUGGGCAACCUGCCUGUAAGACUGGGAUAACUUCGGGAAACCGGAGCUAAUACCGGAUAGGAUCUUCUCCUUCAUGGGAGAUGAUUGAAAGAUGGUUUCGGCUAUCACUUACAGAUGGGCCCGCGGUGCAUUAGCUAGUUGGUGAGGUAACGGCUCACCAAGGCAACGAUGCAUAGCCGACCUGAGAGGGUGAUCGGCCACACUGGGACUGAGACACGGCCCAGACUCCUACGGGAGGCAGCAGUAGGGAAUCUUCCGCAAUGGACGAAAGUCUGACGGAGCAACGCCGCGUGAGUGAUGAAGGCUUUCGGGUCGUAAAACUCUGUUGUUAGGGAAGAACAAGUACGAGAGUAACUGCUCGUACCUUGACGGUACCUAACCAGAAAGCCACGGCUAACUACGUGCCAGCAGCCGCGGUAAUACGUAGGUGGCAAGCGUUAUCCGGGAUUAUUGGGCGUAAAGCGCGCGCAGGCGGUUUCUUAAGUCUGAUGUGAAAGCCCACGGCUCAACCGUGGAGGGUCAUUGGAAACUGGGGAACUUGAGUGCAGAAGAGAAAAGCGGAAUUCCACGUGUAGCGGUGAAAUGCGUAGAGAUGUGGAGGAACACCAGUGGCGAAGGCGGCUUUUUGGUCUGUAACUGACGCUGAGGCGCGAAAGCGAGGGGAGCAAACAGGAUUAGAUACCCUGGUAGUCCACGCCGUAAACGAUGAGUGCUAAGUGUUAGAGGGUUUCCGCCCUUUAGUGCUGCAGCUAACGCAUUAAGCACUCCGCCUGGGGAGUACGGUCGCAAGACUGAAACUCAAAGGAAUUGACGGGGGCCCGCACAAGCGGUGGAGCAUGUGGUCUAAUUCGAAGCAACGCGAAGAACCUUACCAGGUCUUGACAUCCUCUGACAACUCUAGAGAUAGAGCGUUCCCCUUCGGGGGACAGAGUGACAGGUGGUGCAUGGUUGUCGUCAGCUCGUGUCGUGAGAUGUUGGGUUAAGUCCCGCAACGAGCGCAACCCUUGAUCUUAGUUGCCAGCAUUUAGUUGGGCACUCUAAGGUGACUGCCGGUGACAAACCGGAGGAAGGUGUGGAUGACGUCAAAUCAUCAUGCCCCUUAUGACCUGGGCUACACACGUGCUACAAUGGAUGGUACAAAGGGCUGCAAGACCGCGAGGUCAAGCCAAUCCCAUAAAACCAUUCUCAGUUCGGAUUGUAGGCUGCAACUCGCCUACAUGAAGCUGGAAUCGCUAGUAAUCGCGGAUCAGCAUGCCGCGGUGAAUACGUUCCCGGGCCUUGUACACACCGCCCGUCACACCACGAGAGUUUGUAACACCCGAAGUCGGUGGAGUAACCGUAAGGAGCUAGCCGCCUAAGGUGGGACAGAUGAUUGGGGUGAAGUCGUUUACAAGGAAGCU
This 1514-nucleotide ribosomal RNA is filed under the name Bacillus sp. IHB B 4044. RNAcentral describes it as "bacterial SSU rRNA". It matches the Rfam family "Bacterial small subunit ribosomal RNA". The record is from RNAcentral. Lineage: Bacteria; Bacillati; Bacillota; Bacilli; Caryophanales; Bacillaceae.